RNAcentral lists this transfer RNA (55 nucleotides) under Mus musculus (house mouse). It matches the Rfam family "tRNA". From Rfam's summary of the family: Transfer RNA (tRNA) molecules are approximately 80 nucleotides in length. The record is from Rfam by way of RNAcentral. Lineage: Eukaryota; Metazoa; Chordata; Mammalia; Rodentia; Muridae.
GGGGAUUUAGCUCAAUGGUAGAGUGUUUGCCUAGCAAGCAAACACAAAAGCCCUA